This 403-nucleotide ribosomal RNA is filed under the name uncultured bacterium. RNAcentral's name for it is "partial 16S ribosomal RNA". It matches the Rfam family "Bacterial small subunit ribosomal RNA", at positions 29 to 526 of the family's 1533-position model. The record is from RNAcentral.
AUUGAACGCUGGCGGCAGGCCUAACACAUGCAAGUCGAGCGAGCGGCGGACGGGUGAGUAAUGUAUGGGGACUGCCCGAUAGAGGGGGAUAACUACUGGAAACGGUGGCUAAUACCGCAUACUAUCGGAUAACCCAUAUGGGAUUAGCUAGUAGGUUGGGUAAAGGCGAACCUAGGCGCAGAUCUCUAGCUGGUCGGAGAGGAGGAUCAGCAACAAUGGGACUGAGACAAGGCCCAGAAUCCUACGGAGGCAGCAGUGGGGAAGAGUGCACAAUGGGCGCAAGCCGGAUGCAGCCAUGCCGCGUGUAUGAAGAAGGACUUAGGGUUGUAAAGUACUUUCAGCGGGGAGGCGUUACCCGCAGAAGAAGCACCGGCUAACUCCGUGCCAGCAGCCGCGGUAAUGC